This is a small nucleolar RNA of Apodemus sylvaticus (European woodmouse), 130 nucleotides long. RefSeq annotates it as small nucleolar RNA SNORA17. The record is from RefSeq and is a predicted model, not a curated record. NCBI's taxonomy places the organism in Eukaryota, Metazoa, Chordata, Mammalia, Rodentia, Muridae. The transcript has a single exon.
CCUGCUCUUCGGGGCAUUGCAACUGUGGCAGAGGUAUGUGUGCAGGAGCCACGGCAGGUGGCAGAGAGGCUGUCUACAUACUCUCUGUGUUCUGAUCUGUGAACAUCUGAGUGAUUAGUAGCCUAAUAUU